AUUGAACGCUGGCGGCACGCCUUACACAUGCCAGUCGAACGGUAACACCUUAAUCUGCCGAUUGGCGACCGGGUGAGUAAUGUAUCGGAACGUGCCCAGACGUGGGGGAUAACUGCCCGAAUGAGCAGCUAAUACCGCAUACGACCUGAGAUUGCAAGCGGGGGAUCGCAAGACCUCGCGCGGUUGGAGCCGCCGUUCUCAGGUUAGGUGGUUGGCGGGGUAACGGCCCACCAAGCCGACGAUCGGUAGCCGGCCUGAGCGGAGGACGAGCCACACUGGGACUGAGACACGGCCCAGACUCAUACGGGAGGCGGCAGUAGGGAAGGUUGGACAAUGGGCGCGAGCCUAAUCCAGACAUGCCGCGUGCGGGAAGAAGGCGUUCGGGUUGUAGACCGCUUUUGUCAGGGAAGAAGAGGUUCUGGCUAAGACCUGGGGGUCAUGACGGUACCUGAAGAAUAAGCACCGGCUAACUACGUG
Molecule: ribosomal RNA, 477 nt
Filed under: uncultured bacterium
Lineage: Bacteria
Description: partial 16S ribosomal RNA
Rfam family: Bacterial small subunit ribosomal RNA
Source: RNAcentral